This 3038-nucleotide long non-coding RNA is filed under the name Olea europaea subsp. europaea. Lineage: Eukaryota; Viridiplantae; Streptophyta; Magnoliopsida; Lamiales; Oleaceae. The record is from RNAcentral.
CCAUGGGCUUCUCAUUGCCUUCGUCUCUAUCGGAUUCUAUACGGAAAACGCACCUAGUAAUUUUUGUAUGGUUCGAGAAAGUUGGGACAUUAGAGAAGAAUUUGUCAAACCUAACGAGAGAGAUUAAAAUACGGAAGCUCGUCCUCAACAUCUUAGUCAGUGAUAGUAGAGCUCGUCUUUCCAGAGCACUAAGGUGCAAUUUCAUCCAUGAUACAAUUUUUAUUUUAUUGAGUAUUUUCAAAGUUGAAUUUGAUUUUAUGUAUUUAUUUUUAUGUUUUCAAGUCUUAAAGCAACUCAGUGGCCAAUUUCCUAUUUUCUCUAGGGAUAGGUUUUAUAAAAUCUGAAGCUAUUUUUCGAGGGUUCAAUUAUUUUCCGUAGAAGAUCUCAACGUACUCUUGCAUAUUGUGAAAGUUAUAUAUGAGUGGUUUAAAUCAGUAAUUUAAAAAAUUCUGCUCAACUUAAUGCCUUAAUGAUAGAUUGUCACAUUGUAACUUCUUAAAUUUUUGUUAAUGGUAGCUCUAAAGCUGAAAUCUGGCUUAUAGCUUCCUUAAUUGUUUUAGAUCUUGCUUCAUUUAGAAUUAUUUAGCACUCUUUAAUUGUAUAUGGAUGUACUUUUUUCGAACAUUUGCUUUAAAAUGAUGAAAUUUGUAGCUUUACUCUCUGCUAAGUACUAUUCUUGUUUUCCAUAUUGUGGAAGUUGUACAAGAAUUGUCGUAUUAGUAAAUGCUAAAGUACUCUGCUAGAUGAUAGGCUAUAAUAUUGUAACUUCGUAAGUUUUCGUUAAUUAUGUAGAGUGACUUUGGUCUACUCUCUUUUCUAAUGAGAGUUAGAAUUUGGUGAGAUGGUAAUUGGAUAUGGAAGUAUGUUUAUCCGAAACUCUGUUUUACUUUUUUCUUUCAAAGUGCAUGUAUGCAAAAAGAUGUUCGCUGCAGUUAUUUCAUCAUCAAAAGUUUGAUCAACUGACUAUUGAUCAUCUAAUGAUAGCGCAGCGGUUUAUGCCUCUGGUAUGUGUAAUUUAAACUUAUAGAAACAAAAUAUAUCGUGAUGAAAUAAACUUAGUUUUUCUUUCCCCUCCUGUAUUUCAUCUAAUGGAAUUGUUUGAUUUGUUCCAUAGCAAGAUACACUAUGAGGUCCUUUGGUAUCAACCAUGACGUAAAACAAUGAGUCUUUGGUUCAGUCAUAUGAUAUUUUUUUUUAUUGAAGUUAUUACCAUAUUUCUUUUAGAUGAACCAGAAAAUUCCAUAGAGGAGAGAUCUUAUAGCUUAAUUAUGAUGGAGAUGCUGCCCCGAAGCGAGGAUGAGCAAAUUGAUCAUGUUUUACGAAUAGGUACUUUUAUUGUCUUCUCUUCAUGCUCGAUGCUAUUCAAUUACAUACCAAGAAUCCAAAUCCAUUGUUUCAUUUGUUUUGACCUUCUUGGAUUUUGCUAAUGCAGGAUACGACUUUCGUCAUCCAUACUUAACAGUAAUUCCAUCACAUAAGUGCUAAUUUUCUAAUGUGAAUAUACUUGUCUUCUUUUUGUUAUUUUGAAAGACAAUGUACCUUUAAUGUGUAUUAUGGCCAAAAAAGAAAGAAAUUUAUUUAGAUAAUCACAUAUAUUUUUACAGAAACUACAUGUUAUUGCUCUCUUCAUAUUAAAAUACUUAUAUUGAGAAAUACUAUAGUGACCCUCUCACCAAACGAGCAUAUAAAAAAGGCAGUUCAAAAGAAGGAAAUAAUCUAGAAAGCUGGUCUAAUCCAUUGGAGUUGGCAAUAGGAGAAACUGCUGAAAAGUUGAUCAAGUAUCUUAAAGAGGAAUUUCCCAUAGGUGCUUUUAAGUGUACUCAGGAGCAGAAAUCUAACAUCAGGUGGAAAGAAAGUUAAAACUGGAAAAGCAAACAAUAUUCUCCAAACAAGUGAUUUCUUUCGAGCUGAAAGUAAAUUUAGCUAUGAAAUUAGGAGAAUUUUGUCUAUGAAAAUAAUCCAGUCAAUUAUCUGUAUUAUUGAGUAACUUUAGCUAUGAAAAUAAGAGAACUCUAUUUUCAUUCUAAACAUAUAUUUUUUGAAGUUUAUAAAUGAUGGUAGAUGUCAUACAAUUAGUUAAAUAUUUUGUGGGAAGCAAUGUGCCACACUUACUGAAGAAGGACCAAGUAAGAUAGUGCCAGACUUGCCUAUUGAACAAAGUAAAUAUCACUUUGAUCUAGCAUGAGAAUAGAGGCAAUGAAUGUGUUAUCUAACCAAGCUGAAACAAGCUAAUAUAGCAACAAAACAUUUCCACUUUGUUUUUGGCAUUAACUCAUUGUUGUGCAUUUUUGUAAAGACGUGAAAAAAAUGCACAUAAUCAUGUAUGAACUUUAAGUGCAUUUACCGAGCAUAACAUUAAUGAAAAAGGAAGAAUAUUUUUAUAUAAGAAUGAAGAAGUUAAGGGCCUAAUUUACUUUGGAGCAUCAAAAAGUAGAACUGUAACUCUAGGAUAUUUUGUCUUUACCAAUUAAUUUGUGAUUUUUUUUUUUUUAGCCUGUCAACUUUUUUCCUAUUAGAUUAUGUUCUUUUGCGAACAUAUGAAUUUCAACUUAUUCCGUGUGUUUCCUCUUGAAAUUGAAUUUAUUAUGUGGUUUAUUCUUUUGAUGGUAUAUUUGUCAUCUACUUGUAAUUUUUUAGAUUUUGACAAUCCUCUCUCUAUCAAAAGAGUGAACAUGCUAUCUACUUAUCAUUCUUGAUUAUAUCUAUUUUACGGAGAUUAAUGUUCCAUUCUUUCUUUUACAGUUUCAGUCGAUUCGUUUGAAGAACAAAUCUAAGAGUCAUGAACUUGAAUCUAAUGGCAAUAGUGGUAAAAGUUCUCUGCUCUUAAAAUCAGCUGUGGUGUAUAGUAUUGAAGUCUAUUUCUUUAUUCUAUCUUAGUUAUAUAUAUUUUAUGAAGGUUUAUUUCGUCCACACAUAAUGAAUAAGCUGUUUUGAACAUAUUAUGCUGGUUUUAUAACUUCUAUCAUGGUGGAAGGCUACAAUUUGGGAGUUCUAAUCGUGUAUUUGCUAAUAUGACAAUAAUAUUCACAGCCAUCCUU